Molecule: ribosomal RNA, 840 nt
Filed under: Neofusicoccum pruni
Lineage: Eukaryota; Fungi; Ascomycota; Dothideomycetes; Botryosphaeriales; Botryosphaeriaceae
Description: eukaryotic LSU rRNA
Rfam family: Eukaryotic large subunit ribosomal RNA
Source: RNAcentral
CGGCGAGUGAAGCGGCAAUAGCUCAAAUUUGAAAGCUGGCCCCUUCGGGGUCCGCGUUGUAAUUUGUAGAGGAUGGUUCGGCGAGGGCUCCCGUCUAAGUCCCUUGGAACAGGGCGUCAUAGAGGGUGAGAAUCCCGUAUGCGAUGGGCUGCCUUAGCCAUGUGAACCUCCUUCGACGAGUCGAGUUGUUUGGGAAUGCAGCUCUAAAUGGGAGGUAAAUUUCUUCUAAAGCUAAAUACCGGCCAGAGACCGAUAGCGCACAAGUAGAGUGAUCGAAAGAUGAAAAGCACUUUGGAAAGAGAGUUAAAAAGUACGUGAAAUUGUUGAAAGGGAAGCGCUUGCAGCCAGACUUGUCCGCAGUUGCUCAGCCUGUCUCCUGACAGGCGCACUCUUCUGCGGCCAGGCCAGCAUCAGUUCGGGCGGUCGGAUAAAGACCCGGGGAAUGUAGCUCCUCUCGGGGAGUGUUAUAGCCCUGGGUGCAAUGCGGCCAGCCUGGACUGAGGAUCUCGCUUCGGCUAGGAUGCUGGCGUAAUGGCUGUAAGCGGCCCGUCUUGAAACACGGACCAAGGAGUCUAACAUCUAUGCGAGUGUUUGGGUGUCAAACCCAUGCGCGUAAUGAAAGUGAACGGAGGUGGGAACCCUCACGGGUGCACCAUCGACCGAUCCUGAUGUCUUCGGAUGGAUUUGAGUAAGAGCAUAGCUGUUGGGACCCGAAAGAUGGUGAACUAUGCCUGAAUAGGGUGAAGCCAGAGGAAACUCUGGUGGAGGCUCGCAGCGGUUCUGACGUGCAAAUCGAUCGUCAAAUUUGGGUAUAGGGGCGAAAGACUAAUCGAACCAUCU